GAGCACGUAGGUGGGUUUGUAAGUCAGAUGUGAAAGCCUUCUGUUCAACGGAAGAAUUGCAUCUGAAACUGCGAAUCUUGAGUAUAGGAGGGGAGAGUGGAACUUCUGGUGGAGCGGUGAAAUGCGUAGAUAUCAGAAGGAACGCCGGCGGCGAAAGCGAUUCUCUGGCCUAUUACUGACACUCAGUGUGCGAAAGCUAGGGGAGCAAACGGGAUUAGAUACCCCGGUAGUCCUAGCCGUAAACGAUGGGCACUAAGUAGAGGGGUUUU
This 269-nucleotide ribosomal RNA is filed under the name uncultured anaerobic ammonium-oxidizing bacterium. RNAcentral's name for it is "partial 16S ribosomal RNA". It matches the Rfam family "Bacterial small subunit ribosomal RNA", at positions 565 to 832 of the family's 1533-position model. The record is from RNAcentral.